This 440-nucleotide ribosomal RNA is filed under the name uncultured bacterium. RNAcentral describes it as "partial 16S ribosomal RNA". It matches the Rfam family "Bacterial small subunit ribosomal RNA", at positions 338 to 795 of the family's 1533-position model. The record is from RNAcentral.
CCUACGGGAGGCUGCAGUGGGGAAUAUUGCACAAAGGUGGAAACCCUGAUGCAGCGACGCCGCGUGAGCGAUGAAGUAUUUCGGUAUGUAAAGCUCUAUCAGCAGGGAAGAAAAUGACGGUACCUGACUAAGAAGCCCCGGCUAACUACGUGCCAGCAGCCGCGGUAAUACGUAGGGGGCAAGCGUUAUCCGGAUUUACUGGGUGUAAAGGGAGCGUAGACGGCGGUGCAAGCCAGAUGUGAAAGCCCGGGGCUCAACCCCGGGACUGCAUUUGGAACUGUGCUGCUAGAGUGUCGGAGAGGCAGGCGGAAGGCGUGGUGUAGCGGUGAAAUGCGUAGAUAUUAGGAGGAACACCAGUGGCGAAGGAGGCCUGCUGGACGAUGACUGACGUUGAGGCUCGAAAGCGUGGGGAGCAAACAGGAUUAGAUACCCCAGUAGUC